RNAcentral lists this ribosomal RNA (400 nucleotides) under uncultured bacterium. RNAcentral's name for it is "bacterial SSU rRNA". It matches the Rfam family "Bacterial small subunit ribosomal RNA", at positions 29 to 429 of the family's 1533-position model. The record is from RNAcentral.
AUUGAACGCUGGCGGCGUGCUUAACACAUGCAAGUCGAUCGGUAACAGGUGUAGCAAUACAUGCUGACGAGAGGCGGACGGGUGAGUAAUGCUUGGGAAUCUGCCUAUUAGUGGGGGACAACCCGGGGAAACUCGGGCUAAUACCGCAUACGCUCUACGGAGGAAAGCCGGGGACCGCAAGGCCUGGCGCUAAUAGAUGAGCCCAAGUCGGAUUAGCUAGUUGGUAGGGUAACGGCCUACCAAGGCGACAAUCCGUAGCUGGUCUGAGAGGACGACCAGCCACACCGGAACUGAGACACGGUCCGGACUCCUACGGGAGGCAGCAGUGGGGAAUAUUGGACAAUGGGGCAACCCUGAUCCAGCGACGCCGCGUGGGUGAAGAAGGCCUGCGGGUUGUAAA